GGAAUAUUGCACAAUGGGGGAAACCCUGAUGCAGCCACGGCGCGUGAAGGAAGACGUCUUUCGGAUUGUAAACUUUUUUUCUUAGUGAAGAAGAAAGUGACGGUAGCUAAGGACUAAGCAUCUGCUAACUACGUGCCAGCAGCCGCGGUAAUACGUAGGAUGCGAGCGUUAUCCGGAAUUACUGGGUGUAAAGGGAGCGCAGGCGGGACUGCAAGUUGGAUGUGAAAUGCCGCAGCUUAACUGCGGAGCUGCAUCCAAAACUGUAGUUCUUGAGUGGAGUAGAGGCAAGCGGAAUUCCGAGUGUAGCGGUGAAAUGCGUAGAUAUUCGGAGGAACACCAGUGGCGAAGGCGGCUUGCUGGGCUCUAACUGACGCUGAGGCUCGAAAGUGUGGGGAGCAAAC
RNAcentral lists this ribosomal RNA (401 nucleotides) under uncultured bacterium. Its description in RNAcentral is "bacterial SSU rRNA". It matches the Rfam family "Bacterial small subunit ribosomal RNA", at positions 358 to 773 of the family's 1533-position model. The record is from RNAcentral.